GGCCUGUUCGUCUAUCGGCUAGGACGCGGCCCUCUCAAGGCUGAAAGACGGGUUCGAUUCCCGUACGGGCCGCCA
RNAcentral lists this transfer RNA (75 nucleotides) under Pedosphaera sp. RNAcentral's name for it is "tRNA-Glu". It matches the Rfam family "tRNA". From Rfam's summary of the family: Transfer RNA (tRNA) molecules are approximately 80 nucleotides in length. Their secondary structure includes four short double-helical elements and three loops (D, anti-codon, and T loops). The record is from RNAcentral. Lineage: Bacteria; Pseudomonadati; Verrucomicrobiota; Pedosphaerae; Pedosphaerales; Pedosphaeraceae.